This is a small nucleolar RNA of Gasterosteus aculeatus aculeatus (three-spined stickleback), 133 nucleotides long. The record is from Ensembl. Lineage: Eukaryota; Metazoa; Chordata; Actinopteri; Perciformes; Gasterosteidae.
UGCCUUUAUGUGUUGCCCUUUCAUUGUUCCCUUAGUGAUCGGGGUGUCAAAUAAGGCAUACAAUGACACUUGUGGCUGUUUGGUAAAAUUGGUUUCACGUGACUUCUUUUCAUUAACAGCUGCAAGGACAUUU